GAGGAAGGGUGGGGAUGACGUCAACGUCCUCAUCGGCCCUUAUAGGUGGGGCUACACACGUCAUACAAUGGCUGGUACAAAGGGUUGCCAACCCGCGAGGGGGAGCCAAUCCCAUAAAGCCAGUCGUAGUCCGGAUCGCAGUCUGCAACUCGACUGCGUGAAGUCGGAAUCGCUAGUAAUCGUGGAUCAGCAUGUCACGGUGAAUACGUUCCCGGGUCUU
This 220-nucleotide ribosomal RNA is filed under the name uncultured Comamonas sp. RNAcentral's name for it is "partial 16S ribosomal RNA". It matches the Rfam family "Bacterial small subunit ribosomal RNA", at positions 1166 to 1382 of the family's 1533-position model. Lineage: Bacteria; Pseudomonadati; Pseudomonadota; Betaproteobacteria; Burkholderiales; Comamonadaceae. The record is from RNAcentral.